RNAcentral lists this ribosomal RNA (492 nucleotides) under uncultured bacterium. Its description in RNAcentral is "partial 16S ribosomal RNA". It matches the Rfam family "Bacterial small subunit ribosomal RNA", at positions 30 to 507 of the family's 1533-position model. The record is from RNAcentral.
AUUGAACGCUGGCGGCAUGCUUUACACAUGCAAGUCGAACGGUAACAGGCCUUCGGGUGCUGACGAGUGGCGAACGGUUGAGUAAUGCAUCGGAACGUACCCAGAGGUGGGGGAUAACGCAGCGAAAGCUGUGCUAAUACCGCAUGUGAUCUGAUGAUGAAAGCGGGGGACCGAGCAGCAAUGUUUGGCCUCGCGCCUUUGGAGCGGCCGAUGUCGGAUUAGCUAGUUGGUGGGGUAAAGGCCUACCAAGGCGACGAUCCGUAGCUGGUCUGAGAGGACGACCAGCCACACUGGGACUGAGACACGGCCCAGACUCCUACGGGAGGCAGCAGUGGGGAAUUUUGGACAAUGGGCGCAAGCCUGAUCCAGCAAUGCCGCGUGCGGGAAGAAGGCCUUCGGGUUGUAAACCGCUUUUGGCAGGAACGAAACGGUGUCCGCUAAUACCGGGCGCUAAUGACGGUACCUGCAGAAUAAGCACCGGCUAACUACGUG